RNAcentral lists this ribosomal RNA (1371 nucleotides) under uncultured bacterium. Its description in RNAcentral is "bacterial SSU rRNA". It matches the Rfam family "Bacterial small subunit ribosomal RNA", at positions 28 to 1381 of the family's 1533-position model. The record is from RNAcentral.
GAUGAACGCUGGCGGCGUGCCUAAUACAUGCAAGUCGAGCGAACGGACGAGAAGCUUGCUUCUCUGAUGUUAGCGGCGGACGGGUGAGUAACACGCGGAUAACCUACCUAUAAGACUGGGAUAACUUCGGGAAACCGGAGCUAAUACCGGAUAAUAUUUUGAACCGCAUGGUUCAAAAGUGAAAGACGGUCUUGCUGUCACUUAUAGAUGGAUCCGCGCUGCAUUAGCUAGUUGGUAAGGUAACGGCUUACCAAGGCAACGAUGCAUAGCCGACCUGAGAGGGUGAUCGGCCACACUGGAACUGAGACACGGUCCAGACUCCUACGGGAGGCAGCAGUAGGGAAUCUUCCGCAAUGGGCGAAAGCCUGACGGAGCAACGCCGCGUGAGUGAUGAAGGUCUUCGGAUCGUAAAACUCUGUUAUUAGGGAAGAACAUAUGUGUAAGUAACUGUGCACAUCUUGACGGUACCUAAUCAGAAAGCCACGGCUAACUACGUGCCAGCAGCCGCGGUAAUACGUAGGUGGCAAGCGUUAUCCGGAAUUAUUGGGCGUAAAGCGCGCGUAGCGGUUUUUUAAGUCUGAUGUGAAAGCCCACGGCUCAACCGUGGAGGGUCAUUGGAAACUGGAAAACUUGAGUGCAGAAGAGGAAAGUGGAAUUCCAUGUGUAGCGGUGAAAUGCGCAGAGAUAUGGAGGAACACCAGUGGCGAAGGCGACUUUCUGGUCUGUAACUGACGCUGAUGUGCGAAAGCGUGGGGAUCAAACAGGAUUAGAUACCCUGGUAGUCCACGCCGUAAACGAUGAGUGCUAAGUGUUAGGGGGUUUCCGCCCCUUAGUGCUGCAGCUAACGCAUUAAGCACUCCGCCUGGGGAGUACGACCGCAAGGUUGAAACUCAAAGGAAUUGACGGGGACCCGCACAAGCGGUGGAGCAUGUGGUUUAAUUCGAAGCAACGCGAAGAACCUUACCAAAUCUUGACAUCCUUUGACAACUCUAGAGAUAGAGCUUUCCCCUUCGGGGGACAAAGUGACAGGUGGUGCAUGGUUGUCGUCAGCUCGUGUCGUGAGAUGUUGGGUUAAGUCCCGCAACGAGCGCAACCCUUAAGCUUAGUUGCCAUCAUUAAGUUGGGCACUCUAAGUUGACUGCCGGUGACAAACCGGAGGAAGGUGGGGAUGACGUCAAAUCAUCAUGCCCCUUAUGAUUUGGGCUACACACGUGCUACAAUGGACAAUACAAAGGGCAGCGAAACCGCGAGGUCAAGCAAAUCCCAUAAAGUUGUUCUCAGUUCGGAUUGUAGUCUGCAGCUCGACUACAUGAAGCUGGAAUCGCUAGUAAUCGUAGAUCAGCAUGCUACGGUGAAUACGUUCCCGGGUCU